This 436-nucleotide long non-coding RNA is filed under the name Ananas comosus (pineapple). Its description in RNAcentral is "long non-coding RNA (ACOM_LNC044365)". The record is from RNAcentral. Lineage: Eukaryota; Viridiplantae; Streptophyta; Magnoliopsida; Poales; Bromeliaceae.
AACUAAGCAUAGCCAAAAAUUCCGUUGAGUUCGGUAACUUUCACAAUUAGCAUAAGAAACUUUUAUAUAGCUAUAAUUUUUUACUCCAGUAUCCGAUUUCAACGUGUAACCCCAAUUACGAAAAUACUUCUCGAGAUCUCCACAUCACAUCGUGAAGACAUUCUAGCUGAAUUUGAAACCCAAAUUCAAUUGUUUCGGACUCCGUUUUCAAAAUUUUACGCUAUAUAUUUUCGGAAAGUUCUAUAUAUAUUUUUUAUUUUUAGUCUGAUUAUUUGAUUAUUUCUAAUCUGAUUAGGUUUAGAGAUAUAUUAAAAUUUAUUAUUUUCAUCUAGCGGGUAUCGCCUCUAUAUAUAGAGGCGGCGUUCAAUUAGUGUAAUCAGAUUUAAGAUCCAGUUGAUUAAUAAUAUUUUGUCUUUGUCGAAGAAUUGGUUCUUCG